AACUGGGAUUAGAUACCCCACUAUGCCUAGCCGUAAACAUCGAUAACACAUUACAUUUGUUAUCCGCCAGGGUACUACGAGCAUAAGCUUAAAACCCAAAGGACUUGGCGGUGCUUUAGAUCCACCUAGAGGAGCCUGUUCUAGAACCGAUAAUCCCCGUUAAACCUCACCCUUCCUUGUUUUUCCCGCCUAUAUACCGCCGUCGUCAGCUUACCCUGCGAAGGACCAACAGUAAGCAAAAUUGGCACAGCCCAAAACGCCAGGUCGAGGUGUAGCGUAUGGAAGGGGAAGAAAUGGGCUACAUUCAAUAUUACACUGAACACGAAUGGUGGCCUGAAAUACCCACCUGAAGGAGGAUUUAGCAGUAAGCAGGAAAUAGAGAGUCCCGCUGAAAUUGGCCCUGAAGCGCGUACACACCGCCCGUCACUCUCCC
RNAcentral lists this ribosomal RNA (433 nucleotides) under Ctenolabrus rupestris (goldsinny wrasse). RNAcentral's name for it is "partial 12S ribosomal RNA". It matches the Rfam family "Bacterial small subunit ribosomal RNA", at positions 770 to 1406 of the family's 1533-position model. Lineage: Eukaryota; Metazoa; Chordata; Actinopteri; Labriformes; Labridae. The record is from RNAcentral.